Molecule: ribosomal RNA, 1265 nt
Filed under: Bacillus sp. (in: firmicutes)
Lineage: Bacteria; Bacillati; Bacillota; Bacilli; Caryophanales; Bacillaceae
Description: bacterial SSU rRNA
Rfam family: Bacterial small subunit ribosomal RNA
Source: RNAcentral
AUGGGAGCUUGCGCCCUGAUGUUAGCGGCGGACGGGUGAGUAACACGUGGGUAACCCUGCCUGUAAGACUGGGAUAACUCCGGGAAACCGGGGCUUAAUACCGGAUGGUUGUUUGAACCGCAUGGUUCAAACAUAAAAGGUGGCUUCGGCUACCACUUACAGAUGGACCCGCGGCGCAUUAGCUAGUUGGUGAGGUAACGGCUCACCAAGGCAACGAUGCGUAGCCGACCUGAGAGGGUGAUCGGCCACACUGGGACUGAGACACGGCCCAGACUCCUACGGGAGGCAGCAGUAGGGAAUCUUCCGCAAUGGACGAAAGUCUGACGGAGCAACGCCGCGUGAGUGAUGAACGUUUUCGGAUCGUAAAGCUCUGUUGUUAGGGAAGAACAAGUACCGUUCGAAUAGGGCGGUACCUUGACGGUACCUAACCAGAAAGCCACGGCUAACUACGUGCAGCAGCCGCGGUAAUACGUAGGUGGCAAGCGUUGUCCGGAAUUAUUGGGCGUAAAGGGCUCGCAGGCGGUUUCUUAAGCUCUGAUGUGAAAGCCCCCGGCUCAACCGGGGAGGGUCAUUGGAAACUGGGGAACUUGAGUGCAGAAGAGGAGAGUGGAAUUCCACGUGUAGCGGUGAAUGCGUAGAGAUGCGGAGGAACACCAGUGGCGAAGGCGACUCUCUGGUCUGUAACUGACGCUGAGGAGCGAAAGCGUGGGGAGCGAACAGGAUUAGAUACCCUGGUAGUCCACGCCGUAAACGAUGAGUGCUAAGUGUUAGGGGGUUUCCGCCCCUUAGUGCUGCAGCUAACGCAUUAAGCACUCCGCCUGGGGAGUACGGUCGCAAGACGGAAACUCAAAGGAAUUGACGGGGGCCCGCACAAGCGGUGGAGCAUGUGGUUUAAUUCGAAGCAACGCGAAGAACCUUACCAGGUCUUGACAUCCUCUGACAAUCCUAGAGAUAGGACGUCCCCUUCGGGGGCAGAGUGACAGGUGGUGCAUGGUUGUCGUCAGCUCGUGUCGUGAGAUGUUGGGUUAAGUCCCGCAACGAGCGCAACCCUUGAUCUUAGUUGCCAGCAUUCAGUUGGGCACUCUAAGGUGACUGCCGGUGACAAACCGGAGGAAGGUGGGGAUGACGUCAAAUCAUCAUGCCCCUUAUGACCUGGGCUACACACGUGCUACAAUGGACAGAACAAAGGGCAGCGAAACCGCGAGGCUAAGCCAAUCCCACAAAUCUGUUCUCAGUUCGGAUCGCAGUCUGCAACUCGAACUGCG